GGCCGUGUGGCGAAAUGGCAUCGCGUCUGACUACGACUUCCUGUCAUGGAGGAUUAUCAGGAGAUUGCAGGUUCGACCCCUGUCUCGGUCA
Non-coding RNA from Tephrocybe sp. NHM501043, 91 nucleotides. NCBI's taxonomy places the organism in Eukaryota, Fungi, Basidiomycota, Agaricomycetes, Agaricales, Lyophyllaceae. The record is from the annotation of a GenBank genome assembly.